UACGUAGGGUGCGAGCGUUGUCCGGAAUUACUGGGCGUAAAGAGCUUGUAGGUGGUUUGUCGCGUUGUUCGUGAAAUCUCACGGCUUAACUGUGAGCGUGCGGGCGAUACGGGCAGACUAGAGUACUGCAGGGGAGACUGGAAUUCCUGGUGUAGCGGUGGAAUGCGCAGAUAUCAGGAGGAACACCGAUGGCGAAGGCAGUUCUCUGGGACGGUACUGACGCUGAGACGCGAAAGCGUGGGGAGCGAACAGG
RNAcentral lists this ribosomal RNA (253 nucleotides) under uncultured bacterium. Its description in RNAcentral is "partial 16S ribosomal RNA". It matches the Rfam family "Bacterial small subunit ribosomal RNA", at positions 524 to 776 of the family's 1533-position model. The record is from RNAcentral.